UGCAGCCCCUUAAGCAGAGAAGGAGAUGGGUUAUCAGGUGAAUGAGGAAGGGUCUGGGAGCUUCCGUUUUACCCUAAGGUUCUAGGAUUCUCUGACAUCCACGGGGGAGUCUCCCCUGGGAGCAGCUGAACUGAGCAGUGGCUUCUAAAGAAAGGUCACAGCCACAAAGACCUUUGUAAAGCAACAGCCUGAGUUCCUGGGAGGUCCAAUGCCUUGAUCUGGUGAACAGCGUUAGCAGAAGCCAAGAGCUGGAAUCCACAUGCACUUUGUCCCAAGGACUGUAUGUAAGGGGACUCAAACAUAAGACAGGGUUCCUGCCCUCGGCACAGAGGAUGGGGAAAGCCAGCGCAAAUUAGGCGGGAGAGCUGAAAUUCAGCGGAACAGUCACAAGGAUUACAAAGCAAACUUAACCAGUAGCGCUUCCUCACCGCCUCCCCCGCAAAAAAGUGUUUUUCUCCGGGGCCCAACCAGGGUUCCGGAAAGAGGUGGGCCCCUCCCAGUCUGCAGUGCAAAGUCUACAGAGGAAGAGGGGACUAUUAUUCAAAUCACGACAGCACCAUGCCAUCCAUUCCGCCAGAGCAGAGGCUCCCCUAGCUCCCCCAGUCCUGGGAAACCAGCGACCACUGGAAGCAUGAGGUCCGGCUUCAGCAGGGUGUAGCGGGGAGCUCUGCGCUGGCAACAGUUUCC
Molecule: long non-coding RNA, 687 nt
Filed under: Aotus nancymaae (Ma's night monkey)
Lineage: Eukaryota; Metazoa; Chordata; Mammalia; Primates; Aotidae
Description: lncRNA (ENSANAG00000039516.1)
Source: RNAcentral